UAAGGAAUAUUGGUCAAUGGAGGCAACUCUGAACCAGCCAUGCCGCGUGCAGGAAGACGGCCCUACGGGUUGUAAACUGCUUUUGUACCGGAAUAAACCCCUUUACGUGUAAAGGGCUGAAUGUACGGUAAGAAUAAGGAUCGGCUAACUCCGUGCCAGCAGCCGCGGUAAUACGGAGGAUCCAAGCGUUAUCCGGAUUUAUUGGGUUUAAAGGGUGCGUAGGCGGCCUAUUAAGUCAGGGGUGAAAGACGGUGGCUCAACCAUCGCAGUGCCUUUGAUACUGAUGGGCUUGAAUGAACCUGAGGUAGGCGGAAUGUGACAAGUAGCGGUGAAAUGCAUAGAUAUGUCACAGAACACCAAUUGCGAAGGCAGCUUACUAAAGUUUAAUUGACGCUGAGGCACGAAAGCGUGGGGAUCAAACA
RNAcentral lists this ribosomal RNA (422 nucleotides) under uncultured Arcticibacter sp. Its description in RNAcentral is "bacterial SSU rRNA". It matches the Rfam family "Bacterial small subunit ribosomal RNA", at positions 355 to 774 of the family's 1533-position model. The record is from RNAcentral. Lineage: Bacteria; Pseudomonadati; Bacteroidota; Sphingobacteriia; Sphingobacteriales; Sphingobacteriaceae.